This is a long non-coding RNA of Cucumis sativus (cucumber), 5474 nucleotides long. RefSeq lists it as uncharacterized. The record is from RefSeq and is a predicted model, not a curated record. Lineage: Eukaryota; Viridiplantae; Streptophyta; Magnoliopsida; Cucurbitales; Cucurbitaceae. The transcript is spliced from 5 exons.
CUCAAUUUUUUGAAGUACAAAAUAAUUGUAAUGAUGAUUCGUCCAACUUCUCACCUCCAAUGGUCAUACUAAAUUAUUGUUGAGUUAUGGUUUUUCAAUUUUUUUUAAUUCUAUAUAUACAUUAAAGUAGCUAAUAUGAUAUGGACGUCCAUGGUGUAGUCUUUGUUAGUUUGGCGUUUUUUGACGUGUGGUUGCUGGCAUUUGUGUUCUUCAUUUUAUCCUUCGAGAUGUUUAUCUUUUUUUCUUUUGUGAUAUUUACAGAUUGUUUAAUACAUUGCAAAAUUUACCAGAAAAUUCUUUCAUUCUUUAAAAAACUGUUUGUUUAUUUUUUAAGGAUUGUUUCCUUGUCUAGACUUGGCAGGAUACACUCUGUGAAGAAGAAGAGUCGGUCUGGAGAGCAGUCAUAUUGGAGAAGUUGUGGUUCCAUUUCAGCACAUUUAACAUCUUUAUCCAGAGCAUUUUAGAGAAAGAACAAUGAAUGAAAAGUGAACCUUUGAAUUUUGAAGAAAGCUUCGCAAAAUGACAAAUGGAAGAUUGCUAUGGAUGAAGAGAUAAAAGCCAUAAAAAAGAAUGAUAGGUGGGAACUUUCUACUCUUCCAAAUGGAAAGAAAGCAGUAGGUGUCAAAUGGGUGUUCAAGAUAAAAAGAAAUGAAAAAGGAGAAGUGGAGAGAUACAAAGCAAGAUUAGUUCCAAAAGGAUAUUCUCAGAGAAAAGGCUUUGAUUACGAUGAAGUGUUUGCUCCAGUUGCUCGUUUGAAAACCAUAAGAUUGUUAAUUGCGCUUGCUGCUCAAAAUAAUUGGAAGAUCUCUCAUAUGGAUGUCAAAUCAGCAUUUUUGAAUGGAUAUCUAGAAGAAGAAGUCUACUUAGAACAACCUCUUGGUAUUUUGUGAAAGGUCAAGAGGAUAAAGUUCUAAAAUUGAAGAAGACAUUACACGAAUUGGAACAAGCACCAAGAAUGUGGAAUAGCAUAAUCAACAAAUAUUUCCUUGAUAAUGAGUAUUUGAGGUGCCCUUAUGAACAUUCCCUUUAUAUUAAGACUAAUGAUCAUUGAGAUAUUUUGGUGGUUUGUUUGUACGUGGAUGACUUAAUUUUUACAGGAAAUUGUGCAAGUAUGUUUGAAGAUCUCAAUAAGGCGAUGACCCAAGAAUUUGAAAUGACAGAUAUAGGGUUGAUGUCAUAUUAUCUUGGCAUUGAGGUGAAGCAAACAGAGGAAGGUAUUUUCAUCUCUCAAGAGCGGUAUACUAGAGAAAUUCUAGAGAAGUUCAAUAUGAUUAAUUCUAAGCCUGUUACAACUCCGAUUGAAACUGGGACCAAUUGUCCAAAUAUGAAGAAGGAGAUGUUGAUCCUUCAUAUUUCAAAAGUUUGGUUGGGAGUUUGAGAUAUUUAACUUGCACACGACCAAAUAUUCUUUUCAGCGUUGGAUUGAUGAGUCGAUUUAUGGAAUCUUCUACAACUACUCAUUUGAAAGUGGCAAAGAGAAUUCUUCGUUACGUCAAAGGUACACUUGACUAUGGGUUAUUUUAUUCUUCAUCUAAAGAAUUCAAGCUUGAAGGCUAUUGGGAUAGUGACUGGGCUGGAGAUACUAAUGAUCGAAAGAGCACUAGUGGAUUUGUUUUCUUCGUUGGUAAUACUACAUUUACUUGGAGUUCUAAGAAGCAACCUAUUGUAACUUUAUCCACUUGUGAGGUCGAAUAUGUUGCUGCAGCUUCAUGUGUUUGUCAUGCAGUUUGGUUAAGAAAUUUGUUAAAGACAAUUGAAAGUUUGCAAGAUGAUCCAACUGUGAUCCAUGUAGACAAUAAGUCAACAAUUGCUCUGGCAAAGAAUCCUGUGUUCCAUGAUCGUAGCAAACACAUUGAUACUAGAUUUCAUUUCAUCAGAGAUUGCAUUUCAAGGAAGGAGGUUCAUGUUGAAUAUGUGAAUUCUGAAGAUCAAGUUGUAAAUAUUUUCAGGAAGCCACUCAAAGUUAAUGUGUCUAACAAGUUAAGAAGUUCACUUGAAGUUUUUCAAAAAUCAUGUUUAAGGGAGGAUGUUGAAAAUUGAACAUGCUUUAAAUAAAUAAGUUAUAUGUGAAUUGAUUUAUGAGAGUUAGAAAAAGUUAAAGGAUGUGAGUUAAAAUAUUUAGAGUUAAUUUAGUAUGAGUUUUUAUAUUAACUAAGUGUGGGUUUUAGAUUGUUGUGUUUAAUUUGUGGUAUGAGUUAUGCUCAUGACAAUUCUAUAAAUAGGAUUGAAAUGUUGUAAUCUAAAUUAUCCAAGUGAGUAGAAUACACAUAAAAAAGUUAGAGUCUUCCAAUAAAGUUUAUUUUUUCUCUUAAAUAUUCUAUUUGGUAAUUAUCUAUUUAGGGUGUUUAUCGUGUAGAUGUUGUGUUUGAUGAAGAAGCAUCAUGAAAUUGGAAUGAUGAACCAGAAGACUACAAUUUUUUUGUUUUCCGUGAUGAUCAUGAUGAGCCUAGUGACAUUGCUUCCCCAUCAACACCACCAACAUCGCCAAUCACUCCACAACAAAGCACACACCUUCAUCAUUUGCAAGAAGUUCAAGUGAAGGGCCUUGUGGCAUGAGAAGUUUACGAGACAUAUAUAUGAAACUGAAGAGUUAAGUCAAAGUUUUAAUAAUCUUACUCUCUUUUGUUUAUUUGGUGGCAGUGAACCUUUGAAUUUUGAAGAAAGCUUCGCAAAAUGACAAAUGGAAGAUUGCUAUGGAUGAAGAGAUAAAAGCCAUAAAAAAGAACGAUAGGUGGGAACUUUCUACUCUUCCAAAUGGAAAGAAAGGAGUAGGUGUCAAAUGAGUGUCGAUAAAAAGAAAUGAAAAAUGAGAACUGGAGAGAUACAAAGCAAGAUUAGUUCCAAAAGGAUAUUCUCAAAGAAAAGGCAUCGAUUACAAUGAAGUGUUUGCUCCAGUUGCUCGUUUGAAAACCAUAAGAUUGUUAAUUGCGCUUGCUACUCAAAAUAAUUGGAAGAUCUCUCAGAUGGAUGUCAAAUCAGCAUUUUUGAAUGGAUAUCUAGAAGAAGAAGUCUACUUAGAACAACCUCUUGGUUAUUUUGUGAAAGGUCAAGAGGAUAAAGUUCUAAAAUUGAAGAAGGCAUUACACGGAUUGAAACAAGCACAAAAAAUGUGGAAUAGCAUAAUCAACAAAUAUUUCCUUGAUAAUGAGUAUUUGAGGAAAUUGUGCAAGUAUGUUUGAAGAUCUCAAGAAGGCGAUGACCCAAGAAUUUGAAAUGACAGAUAUAGGGUUGAUAUCAUAUUAUCUUGGCAUUGAGGUGAAGCAAACAGAGGAAGGUAUUUUCAUCUCUCAAGAGUGGUAUACUAGAGAAAUUCUAGAGAAGUUCAAUAUGAUUAAUUCUAAGUCUGUUACAACUCCGAUUGAAACUGGGACCAAAUUGUCCAAAUAUGAAGAAGGAGAUGUUGAUCCUUCAUAUUUCAAAAGUUUGGUUGGGAGUUUGAGAUAUUUAACUUGCACACGACCAAAUAUUCUUUUCAGCAUUGGAUUGAUGAGUCGAUUUAUGGAAUCUCCUACAACUACUCAUUUGAAAGUGGCAUAGAGAAUUCUUCGUUACCUCAAAGGUACGCUUGACUAUGGGUUAUUUUAUUCUUCAUCUAAAGAAUUCAAGCUUGAAGGCUAUUGGGAUAGUGACUGGGCUGGAGAUACUAAUGAUUGGAAGAGCACUAGUGGAUUUGUUUUCUUCGUUGGUAAUAUAUACUACAUUUACUUGGAGUUCUAAGAAGCAACCUAUUGUAACAUUAUCCACUUGUGAGGUCGAAUAUGUUGUUGCAGCUUCAUGUGUUUGUCAUGCAGUUUAGUUAAGAAAUUUGUUAAAGACAAUUGAAAUUUUGCAAGAUGAUCCAACUGUGAUCCAUGUAGACAAUAAGUCAACAAUUGCUCUGGCAAAGAAUCCUGUGUUCCAUGAUCGUAGCAAACACAUUGAUACUAGAUUUCAUUUCAUCAGAGAUUGCAUUUCAAGGAAGGAGGUUCAUGUUGAAUAUGUGAAUUAUGAAGAUCAAGUUGUAAAUAUUUUCACGAAGCCACUCAAAGUUAAUGUGUCUAACAAGUUAAGAAGUUCACUUGAAGUUUUUCAAAAAUCAUGUUAAAGGGAGGAUGUUGAAAAUUAAACAUGCUUUAAAUAAAUAAGUUAUAUGUGAAUUGAUUUAUGAGAGUUAGAAAAAGUUAAAGGAUAUGAGUUAAAAUGUUUAGAGUUAAUUUAGUAUGAGUUUUCAUAUUAAUUAACCGUAGGUUUUAAAUUGUUGUGUUUAAUUUGUGGUAUGAGUUAUGCUCAUGACAAUCCUAUAAAUAGAAUUGAAAUGUUGUAAUCUAAAUUAUCCAAGUGUGAGUAGAAUAAGUCUUCCAAUAAAGUUUGAUUUUCCUCUUAAAUAUUUUAUUUGGUAAUUAUCUAUUUGAAGUGUUCAUCGUACCCUUCCAAAGAAAAAUUAUUAUUCCACACCCUAUUCUAGAAAGAAACUGAAUCACCACUAUUAAUUUUUCAGGUGUAUUGUGUAUAGAACCGGUCGAUACCUUUUAUGAUGGCAUUCCAAAGAGCUUUGGAGCUGCUACAUCUGCCUUUGAUGUAGACAUCUCCAUCGAAAGCCUGAUUAUACUUUGCAAGAACCAAUCUUUUCCAAAGUGACUAUUUUUCAGAGAGGAACCUCCAAAGCCAUUUGCAAAAAAUGGCAAAGUUUGUAUUCAUGACUUUGUUAAUGCCAAGACCACCCUUUUCUUUAGGUACAGAUAUCUUUUACCAUCUAAGGAGAUGAGUGUUAUUGCUAUCCAUAGAGCUUCUCCAAAGAAAGUUUCUCAAACUUUUUUCAGUACUCUUGCAAACACCUUCGGGGUUUUGAAAAUCGACAUCUGAUAAGUUGGCAGGCUUUUUCCAAACUAGAAUUGAUGAGCGUAAUUUUACUCCCUUUGGAUAUGAAGGAGUAUUUCCAACUGCAAAGCUUCUUUUGUAUCUUCUCUGUAACGUUAUCCCAUAAUGUUAUUGAAGUUGGUUUGCCACCAAGUAGGAUCCCAAGGGGAAAUGGUGGAUUUAUUUAAAUUGAUGUUUAGACCCGAGGCAGAUUCAAAUAGGUGGAAAAUGUACCUGAGGUUGUUUAGAGAUUCAUCAUUAUCUUCAGUGAAAAGUAAGAUGUCAUUCCGCAAAAAGGACGUGGGAUAAAUUAAAAUUAUGCUCCAUGUUUACUCCCCUAAUUUUCCCCAUUUGCUUCAUAUCAGUAAGUAGCCUAUGGAGAUAGUCCAUGGCUAGUACAAAAAUGAAGGGUGAUAUAGGAUCUCCCUGUCGAAUGCCUCUGCUAGCUCGGAUAAAUUCUACCACGAGAUUUUCCAUUAAUUAAUAUAGAGUACUGAACACUAGAUAUGCACCUAUGAAUCCAUUUUCUCUAGCCAAAAGAAAAUAAAAAUUCAGCAGCAUAUAGUCGAUAAACUUCAAAUUGAUUUUGUCGAAGGCUUUUUCACUACUAAGCUUUAUAAUAAAUCCUUUGACCAUUU